RNAcentral lists this unclassified non-coding RNA (420 nucleotides) under soil metagenome. RNAcentral describes it as "partial contains 5.8S ribosomal RNA, internal transcribed spacer 2, and large subunit ribosomal RNA". The stretch from base 1 to 121 matches the Rfam family "5.8S ribosomal RNA", at positions 35 to 154 of the family's 154-position model. The record is from RNAcentral.
GAUGAAGAACGCAGCGAAAUGCGAUAAGUAAUGUGAAUUGCAGAAUUCAGUGAAUCAUCGAAUCUUUGAACGCACCUUGCGCUCUUUGGCCAUUCCAAGGAGCAUGCCUGUUUGAGUGUCAUUGAAUCCUCAAGGCCCCCUUUUCCUGCCCUUCCUUUUCAAGCUUGGGCUUUAGGGGACUUUGGACUUUGAGAGCGCUGCGGUGCCAGGCUUUCUCCGGCUCCGCUCUCCUCAAAUGCAUCAGUAGGGCCCCUCUUCCCUUUCGGGUCUUUGCGGCGUUGAUAGUCGUCCACGCCUCUGCCCGUUGGGUCCGUUGGGUCUCACCUGCUCCCUCAACCCCCCACGUUUUUCUUUAAACGCUUUUGACCUCAAAUCAGGUAGGACUACCCGCUGAACUUAAGCAUAUCAAUAAGCGGAGGA